RNAcentral lists this non-coding RNA (1261 nucleotides) under Pan troglodytes (chimpanzee). Lineage: Eukaryota; Metazoa; Chordata; Mammalia; Primates; Hominidae. The record is from RNAcentral.
UGGAGAGAACGAGAGCUACGAAGAGACUACAAUGCCUCUGACUUUUUCAUAGGACAGUUGGCCGAGGAAGACAAACAUAAAGAUGAAGUGCUUAAUUCAAGGUCACACAAUGUCGGGGAUGGACCUCCAGAUUUCCUUACUGACCUGCAUUAUCUUGUGGAUACCUGAGUGAAUUCCACACCACCCAUUUUAUAGAUGAAACCACUGAGACAUGGAGCAACUGACUGAGUAGUCACUGCCCCACCCCUGCCUGGAGCCUCACACAUGACUCGUCUCCUCUCAGUGACCACAGACCAAGUGUGUUGGGGACUUGAGAUGCGUACAUGAGUGUUUGUGAUGUUUCCUGCCGAAAGCACAGGUGAGACGUGGUCUUGUAACACAGUGGUUAAGAAUGUGACUUUGGAGCCAGCCUGCUAGGGGCUGAAUUCUGACUCAGCCAUUUACUAACUGUGUGACCUUAGGUGGAGUCUCACUCUGUAGCCCAAGCUGGAGUGGUGUGAUCUCGACUCACUGCAACCUCCGCCUCCUGGGCUCAAGUGAUUCUCGUGCCUCAGCCUCCUGAGUAGCUGGGACUACAGAUGUCUGUCCCAGGCUCCAGUUUUGUGGUUCCACCUGAGACCUUUCCACCUAUAUGCUUUACAGGUCACAGAAUUUUCCACACUCCUUGACGGAGGUGCUUAACCCUUAUCCAUCAGCAUUCUCAGACAGCACCUCCGGUUAGGGACAGUAUCUGACCGUCCGACAUCCCUGCAGCCCCCAUGUGUCACACAGACUCAGCCUCAGGUAGAUGGUUUCCGUAGAUGGUGGCUUUCUUUGGACCCUUGACAUCAACCAGUUACUAUUUGCCAGAGACAGACUCCCAGACUCGGCCAGAGGCUGAUGCCGACUCCUUCCAGCUCUCACGGUAACCAUGAGGCCCCUGCGUGUUUCUGCUGUGGAGGUCCCAGAGGGAACUGUAUGGACAGACACAGCCUGAAGGGCCAUCUGCCUCAAGCCACAGCAGCACAGAAUUCUAAAGAUUGUGGGGAAGGAUGGCGCCUAGGGGACCAGAUGUGCAGAGGUAAUGAAUACCAGGGAAUCAGGAAACCACUGGAUCAGUUCUUUGAGCCACAGAACAACACUCAUCCCAGCAGCUGGGAAGCUAUCUGCAAAAGUCCAUCUGCAGAAAGGGCUUCCUGGUCUUGCGUGUGGCUGGGCCAUUUCUCUGGAUGCAGGUUUUUCAUUAUACAGUCUUCUCAAAGAAACACCUGCUCUCAACACC